UGGACACUCUGGGGAUGAUCCCUCUGCUUUCAUUAAGAGUUCCAAGAUGUUGGUCUGAUUGACUGGGGUGUGAAAUGUAACAGCCAAUGGUGUACUUAAGCUAAGACUGUCAGUCCCAAUAUUCAAGAGGUGAGAUAAGCAAUGGAUAUGUGUUCUAAAUUUACUAAAUUGACCACUUUUUAUAAAUGUUUCUUUUACUCUAUAGGAAAAACCCCUACAUAAACAAAUACAUGGGCGCAGACAUUUUGGACACCCAAAGUUGUGCGGAGGAGAAAAUGCUAGCUGGCGCGUGAUUGGUCAAUAAGAGAAAAGACUUGUUAUGUAUUUGACAAGUGAAAUAAAGUUGAUAAAAAUCUCA
Saccostrea cuccullata (small rock oyster) is the source of this 358-nucleotide long non-coding RNA. RefSeq lists it as uncharacterized. Lineage: Eukaryota; Metazoa; Mollusca; Bivalvia; Ostreida; Ostreidae. The record is from RefSeq and is a predicted model, not a curated record. The transcript has 2 exons.